CCUACGGGGGGCAGCAGUGGGGAAUAUUGCACAAUGGGGGCAACCCUGAUGCAGCGACGCCGCGUGUGUGAAGAAGUAAUUCGUUAUGUAAAGCUCUAUCAGCAGGGAAGAAAAUGCCGGUACCUGAGUCCGAAGCCACGGCUAACUCCGUGCCAGCAGCCGCGGUCAUACGUAGGGGGCACGCGUUCUCCGGAUUUACUGGGUGUAAAGGGAGCGUAGACGGCAGGGCAAGUCUGGAGUGAAAGGCGGGGGCUCAACCCCCGGACUGCUCUGGAAACUGUACGACUGGAGUGCAGGAGAGGGGAGUAGAAUUCCAAGUGUAGCGGUGAAAUGCGUAGAGAUUAGGAGGAACACCAGUGGCGAAGGCAGCUUACUAAACGGUGACUGACAUUGAGGCGCGAAAGUGUGGGGAGCAAACAGGAUUAGAUACCCCAGUAGUC
Molecule: ribosomal RNA, 440 nt
Filed under: uncultured bacterium
Lineage: Bacteria
Description: partial 16S ribosomal RNA
Rfam family: Bacterial small subunit ribosomal RNA
Source: RNAcentral